GGCAAAUGCUGCAUAAAUUAGUUAUGUAGAGGAAAGUCCAUGCUCGCACAGGCUGUGAUGCUUGUAGUGUUUGUGUUUAGGGAAAAAAUAACCUAAAGUAGCGUAUGCUAACGGCUUCGAGGAAACCUUAAAUGGUUUUAUUAGAUAUAAAAGUGCCAAAGAGACGAGUUACAAGGGAAACUUUGUAAGUGGAACGUGGUAAACCCCGCAAGCGAGAAACCCAAAUUAUGGUAGGGGAGCUUAAAGUAGAGAAACGAAUUUACUUUAGGUGCAGAAAUGUAAGAUAAAUAUUUGCCUCUUCUUGUGAAGAACAAAACAUGGCUUAUU
RNAcentral lists this RNase P RNA (327 nucleotides) under human gut metagenome. RNAcentral's name for it is "Bacterial RNase P class B". It matches the Rfam family "Bacterial RNase P class B". Rfam says of the family: Ribonuclease P (RNase P) is a ubiquitous endoribonuclease, found in archaea, bacteria and eukarya as well as chloroplasts and mitochondria. Its best characterised activity is the generation of mature 5'-ends of tRNAs by cleaving the 5'-leader elements of precursor-tRNAs. Cellular RNase Ps are ribonucleoproteins. The record is from RNAcentral.